AGGGGAUUCACUUAAAGGACCUACUCGUUUUCCUGGCACUAUAGUGCCCUGAGGGUGCCAACACCCUAAGGGUCCCCCUCCCGCCGGGCUCUGGGGAGAGGAAGGGGUUAAAAUCUUACCUUUCUCCAGCACCGGGCAGGGAGCUCUCCUCCUCCUCUCCUCCUUCAUAGCGACAUCAUCGGCUGAAUGCGCAUGUGCGGCACGAGCCGCGCGCGCGCAUUCAGCCAGUUAAUAGGAAAGCAUUUACAAUGCUUUCCUAUGGACGCUGGAGUCUUCUCACUGUGAUUUUCACAGUAAGAAGCACGCAAGCGCCUCUAGC
Non-coding RNA from Pelobates cultripes (western spadefoot toad), 319 nucleotides. NCBI's taxonomy places the organism in Eukaryota, Metazoa, Chordata, Amphibia, Anura, Pelobatidae. The record is from the annotation of a GenBank genome assembly.